This 913-nucleotide ribosomal RNA is filed under the name Exophiala spinifera. Its description in RNAcentral is "LSU rRNA". It matches the Rfam family "Eukaryotic large subunit ribosomal RNA", at positions 38 to 965 of the family's 3401-position model. The record is from RNAcentral. Lineage: Eukaryota; Fungi; Ascomycota; Eurotiomycetes; Chaetothyriales; Herpotrichiellaceae.
GCAUAUCAAUAAGCGGAGGAAAAGAAACCAACAGGGAUUGCCUCAGUAACGGCGAGUGAAGCGGCAACAGCUCAAAUUUGAAAUCUGGCCUCUUUGGGGUCCGAGUUGUAAUUUGUAGAGGAUGUUUCGGGUACCGCCUCGGUUUAAAUUUCUUGGAACAGAAUGUCAGAGAGGGUGAGAAUCCCGUCUUGGACCGGCGGUAGGGCCCAUGUGAAACUCCUUCGACGAGUCGAGUUGUUUGGGAAUGCAGCUCAAAAUGGGUGGUAAAUUUCAUCUAAAGCUAAAUAUUGGCCAGAGACCGAUAGCGCACAAGUAGAGUGAUCGAAAGAUGAAAAGAACUUUGAAAAGAGAGUUAAACAGUAUGUGAAAUUGUUGAAAGGGAAGCGCUUGCAACCAGACUUGAGCGCGGCGGUUCCCCCUUCCUUUUGGUUGGGUUACUCCGCCGUGUCCAGGCCAACAUCGGUUCUGGGGGUCGGUUAAAGGCCCGGGGAAUGUACCUACUCCUUCGGGGGUAGACUUAUAGCCCCGGGUGUCAUGCGACCACCCGGGACCGAGGAACGCGCUUCGGCUCGGAUGUUGGCGUAAUGGUUGUCAGCGACCCGUCUUGAAACACGGACCAAGGAGUCUAACAUCUAUGCGAGUGUUUGGGUGUCAAACCCGGAACGCGAAAUGAAAGUGAACGGAGGUAGGAAGCCUUUGGGCUGCACUAUCGACCGAUCCUGAUGUCUUCGGAUGGAUUUGAGUAAGAGCAUAGCUGUUGGGACCCGAAAGAUGGUGAACUAUGCCUGAAUAGGGUGAAGCCAGAGGAAACUCUGGUGGAGGCUCGCAGCGGUUCUGACGUGCAAAUCGAUCGUCAAAUUGGGUAUAGGGGCGAAAGACUAAUCGAACCAUCUGGUAGCUGGUUCCUGCCGAG